Molecule: ribosomal RNA, 412 nt
Filed under: Sphenomorphus tersus (Thai forest skink)
Lineage: Eukaryota; Metazoa; Chordata; Lepidosauria; Squamata; Scincidae
Description: partial 16S ribosomal RNA
Rfam family: Bacterial large subunit ribosomal RNA
Source: RNAcentral
UUCAACGGCCGCGGUAUUCUAACCGUGCAAAGGUAGCGUAAUCACUUGUCUCUUAAAUAGGGACUGGUAUGAAUGGCUAAAUGAGGGCAAGCCUGUCUCCUACAACCAAUCAAUGAAACUGAUCUUCCAGUCCAAAAGCUGAAAUAUAACCACAAGACGAGAAGACCCUGUGGAGCUUAAAAAUCUAUUACUUUUGAGUUGGGGCGACUUCGGAAUAAAACAAAACUUCCGAGCACAGAACAAGGCAGACAUGCCAAACACACUGAUCAACGAACCAAGUUACCCCAGGGAUAACAGCGCCAUCUUCUUUAAGAGUCCAUAUCGACAAGAAGGUUUACGACCUCGAUGUUGGAUCAGGACACCCAAAUGGUGCAGCCGCUAUUAAAGGUUCGUUUGUUCAACGAUUAACAGU